GUUUUUUCAAUGAUUUUCAUUCAACAAAUAAAUAAGAAAAGAAUUUUACCGUGAAUAACGCGAAUUAUAUAAAUUUCAUAAAUGAGACAAUAUUCGCUGCAUUAUUGCACAAAGACAAUUCAACAAAGAAAUGAGAUCUUUCUCUUGAUAACAUUUAAAUAGGACUGGAUAUUGUUACGUUAAGUGUUUAAGUUUAACAAAAAAUUGUAUCACACAUGAAUUCUAGGAAUCAGUAACAAAUCACCACCUGGUCCGUGUUUCUUCGAAGUACCAAAUAAGGAAUUCAUCAUAAUGAAGAUAGUUUGGAUUGUAAGACUUCUAUUUUUCGUUGGUCUUAUUUACGAAACACAAUGUGAAACUCGCAUGUGCUUUGCCUGCAGAGACACUUCCAGCAAAGAAGGUGAAAAUGACUGCCAGGUGAACACAGAAAGGAUGGAAGAGCUUCAUACUAAGUUAAUUCACGAAUAUAGGAACGAUACGGAUGUUUUUAUGAAAGAUUUUGUAAACGAUCCGUAUGUACAGAGUUGUAGUGCUUUGGCUGGACAUAACUAUUGCUGCAUAGAAGAACUUGAACAAAGAGGAAUCAUUCUUGCGUAUAUCAGAACAUGUUGUGAUGGCAUUACUUGGUCAUUUAAUACAACAGUUUUAAAUACACUGAAGAACGUCCAAAAAAGCAACGAUUCUUUGUGUCAACAUAAUGCAGCAUCUACAACAACAACUUGUGUUACAAUGUGUCGUGGAAAUUUCUGUAAUGGACCAACUGCUGCGGCGAAUAAUUUACAUACAUUCAUAACUCUAAAAUUGUUUUGUUUGAUACUAAUACGUUGCUUUUCGUAAUCACAGCAGUAACUGAAUGAAUUAAAGUGACGACAGGUGGUUCUUAAAAUUAAACCAGGGGUUAGUUUUACCCCUGGACUGUUUCAUCUAAUAUCUCCGAAAAAGGUUUCACAAUUUCACAUAAAAAAUAUAUAUUUCCAAAUAGAAAAUAACAUACAAGUAAGUAACGGAAAAAUGGUUUAUUAAAACAGUCAUCUCUGUAAAUGAUUCAGUAGCACAUGGUCUCAAAUUCAGAGAAGAAUAUUUCAAAAGACGUUAAAUAUUACUAUGACUACUUCAGAAAUGUUUGAUAUGACAGUUCAAGGUUGUGAAGUAUUGAGUACCAUUAAACAAUGCACAAAGUACUUGUUACUCCUUACUUAUAUAUGUUAGUUAUGAAAAUCAGAUGAUAGAUAAUUUGUCUUAAUCUCACUUAUCAGUUCUUUGCUAUUUCGUCUGUGUAUAUCUAUUUUUCAGAUGAAUAAAAUAUGAAGCCUCACA
Mytilus californianus (California mussel) is the source of this 1317-nucleotide long non-coding RNA. RefSeq lists it as uncharacterized. NCBI's taxonomy places the organism in Eukaryota, Metazoa, Mollusca, Bivalvia, Mytilida, Mytilidae. The record is from RefSeq and is a predicted model, not a curated record. The transcript is spliced from 3 exons.